GAAGCGGGAAAAGCUCAAGUUUGAAAUCUGGAGACGUCUCGCCUCCAGAGUUGUAAGCUGAUGAGGCAUCGACCGACGUGUCCCGGGCUCAAUUCCCUUGGAACAGGGAGUCAUGGAGGGUGAGAACCCCGUCUGUGGCCUGGGUACCAUCGUCCUAGUGUUGUGUCCUCGAAGAGUCGGGUUGUUUGGGAACGCAGCUCAAAAUGGGUGGUAAAUUUCAUCUAAAGCUAAAUACUGGCGAGAGACCGAUAGCAAACAAGUAGAGUGAUCGAAAGAUGAAAAGUACUUUGAAAAGAGAGUGAAACAGUACGUGAAAUUGUUGAAAGGGAAGCGUUUGGCAUCAGCCCAUGGCGUCCGUCCACCAUCCAGGCUUCUGCCUGUUGCACUGGUCGGGCGUUGGGCCAGCGUCGACUUUGUCCGCCGGAGAAAGGCCUAGGGGAUGUGGCUCCCUUUGGGGAGCGUUAUAACCCUAGGCGUCAUGCGGUGUGAUGGGGUCGAGGUCCGCGGUUAGUCCUAGGACGCUGGCGUAAUGGUUCCAAGCGACCCGUCUUGAAACACGGACCAAGGAGUCUAACAUCUAUGCGAGUGUUUGGGUGUCAAGCCCGUCCGCGCAAUGA
This 617-nucleotide ribosomal RNA is filed under the name uncultured Archaeorhizomycetes. RNAcentral describes it as "eukaryotic LSU rRNA". It matches the Rfam family "Eukaryotic large subunit ribosomal RNA", at positions 95 to 722 of the family's 3401-position model. The record is from RNAcentral. Lineage: Eukaryota; Fungi; Ascomycota; Archaeorhizomycetes.